AUUGAACGCUGGCGGCAUGCCUUACACAUGCAAGUCGAACGGUAACGCGGGGCAACCUGGCGACGAGUGGCGAACGGGUGAGUAAAGUAUCGGAACGUGCCCAAUAGUGGGGGAUAGCCCGGCGAAAGCCGGAUUAAUACCGCAUGAGACCUGAGGGUGAAAGCGGGGGACGUCGCAAGAGCCUCGCGCUGUUGGAGCGGCCGAUGUCGGAUUAGCUAGUUGGUGAGGUAAAGGCUCACCAAGGCGACGAUCCGUAGCGGGUCUGAGAGGAUGAUCCGCCACACUGGGACUGAGACACGGCCCAGACUCCUACGGGAGGCAGCAGUGGGGGAAUUUUGGACAAUGGGCGCAAGCCUGAUCCAGCCAUGCCGCGUGC
RNAcentral lists this ribosomal RNA (376 nucleotides) under uncultured bacterium. RNAcentral describes it as "bacterial SSU rRNA". It matches the Rfam family "Bacterial small subunit ribosomal RNA", at positions 29 to 404 of the family's 1533-position model. The record is from RNAcentral.